AACGCACCUUGCGCCCCUUGGCAUUCCGAGGGGCACGCCUGUUUGAGUGUCGUGAACUCCUCCACCCUCUACCUUUUUCGGAAGGCACUGGGCUGGGAUUUGGGAGCUUGCGGGUCCCUGGCCGAUCCGCUCUCCUUGAAUACAUUAGCGAAGCCCUUGCGGCCUUGGUGUGAUAGUCAUCUACGCCUUGGCUUAGCGAACAUAUGGGAAUCGCUUCCAACCGUCUCGCAAGAGACAAUCACUACCAAUUUGACCUCAAAUCAGGCGGGACUACCCGCUGAACUUAA
RNAcentral lists this unclassified non-coding RNA (287 nucleotides) under uncultured Peniophoraceae. RNAcentral describes it as "sequence contains ITS2". The stretch from base 1 to 52 matches the Rfam family "5.8S ribosomal RNA", at positions 103 to 154 of the family's 154-position model. Lineage: Eukaryota; Fungi; Basidiomycota; Agaricomycetes; Russulales; Peniophoraceae. The record is from RNAcentral.